AUCCUUCCAGCUCCUUCCCUCCUGAGGUCCGGACACCUGGGCCAGCACGUAGCCCCAGCUCUGUUCCUCCAGUGCUGGGGGACCCUGGGAUGUCCCCACCCUCUUUGGGACUGUGUCUCUGCUUGUUCCCUAGGGGAGAGAAGGCUCUUUUGUCCCCUUCUAGGGGUUGCAGCCAAAUGUGGUCUCAUCUUCGCCUGCCCCAAAGGAUUCAAAUGCUGUGGUGACAGCUGCUGCCAGGAGAACGAGCUCUUCCCUGGCCCCGUGAGGAUCUUCGUCAUCAUCUUCCUGGUCAUCCUGUCCCUCUUUUGCAUCUGUGGCCUGGCUAAGUGCUUCUGUCGCAACUGCAAAGAGCCGGAGCCAGACACCCCAAUGGAUUGCCGGGGGCCCCUGGAACUGCCGUCCAUCAUUCCCCCAGAGAGGGUCAGAGUAUCCCCCUCUGUGCCCCCACCCCCCUACAGUGAGGUGGGUGUCUCAUCCCCAUCCCUACCUUGCCUCUGCCCGGCUGUACAGCAGGGACAGUGGAGGGCCCUUUGAUCCUGGAGGGCACUCUGCACCCAGCAUUGGGUCACCCCUCUCCCUGGU
RNAcentral lists this small RNA (582 nucleotides) under Pongo abelii (Sumatran orangutan). RNAcentral's name for it is "processed transcript". Lineage: Eukaryota; Metazoa; Chordata; Mammalia; Primates; Hominidae. The record is from RNAcentral.